This 274-nucleotide long non-coding RNA is filed under the name Brassica napus (rape). RNAcentral's name for it is "long non-coding RNA (BNAP_LNC002425)". The record is from RNAcentral. Lineage: Eukaryota; Viridiplantae; Streptophyta; Magnoliopsida; Brassicales; Brassicaceae.
AUUUAUAUGAUGAAAGAAAAACAAUAUUUUUGGUUCACAGAGAAAACAAUUACUUGUAGAAUAUAUCACAUGUAUAUUCUAUAAAAAUAUAUUAAAUAUAUGUAAUGAAUGCUUAACUUAUAUCACUUUUGGAACUUGGAAGUGGUAAAUCCCAUUCCCACACACCAUUUUAUGCCUAUCACGUCGAAACAUUAUAACACUAUAUAUUGUAUGCCGUGCAUACACGUUCAUAUCACAAGUUGUCGUCAUGUCAACCCUAAACCCUAAUUAAUUA